AUGAACGCUAGCUACAGGCUUAACACAUGCAAGUCGAGGGGAAACGACAUCGAAAGCUUGCUUUUGAUGGGCGUCGACCGGCGCACGGGUGAGUAACGCGUAAGCAACCUGCCCUUCAGAUGGGGACAACAGCUGGAAACGGCUGCUAAUACCGAAUACGUUCUUUUUGUCGCAUGGCAGAGGGAAGAAAGGGAGGCUCUUCGGAGCUUUCGCUGAAGGAGGGGCUUGCGUCUGAUUAGCUAGUUGGAGGGGUAACGGCCCACCAAGGCGACGAUCAGUAGCCGGUCUGAGAGGAUGAACGGCCACAUUGGGACUGAGACACGGCCCAGACUCCUACGGGAGGCAGCAGUGAGGAAUAUUGGUCAAUGGGCGAGAGCCUGAACCAGCCAAGUAGCGUGCAGGAAGACGGCCCUAUGGGUUGUAAACUGCUUUUAUAAGGGAAUAAAGUGAGAGUCGUGACUCUUUUUGCAUGUACCUUAUGAAUAAGGACCGGCUAAUUCCGUG
Molecule: ribosomal RNA, 504 nt
Filed under: uncultured bacterium
Lineage: Bacteria
Description: bacterial SSU rRNA
Rfam family: Bacterial small subunit ribosomal RNA
Source: RNAcentral